GUUAGGAAUAUUCGUCAAUGGGGGGAACCCUGAACGAGCAAUGCCGCGUGAGUGAUGACGGUCCUCUGGAUUGUAAAACUCUGUUGUUUGGAAAGAAUUGUAAGAAGAGGAAAUGCUUCUUAUUUGACGGUACCAUUCAAGAAAGCCACGGCUAACUACGUGCCAGCAGCCGCGGUAAUACGUAGGUGGCGAGCGUUAUCCGGAUUUAUUGGGCGUAAAGCGUCCGCAGCCGGUUUAUUAAGUCUAGAAUUAAAGCCUGGAGCUCAACUCCAGUUCGUUUUAGAAACUGAUAGACUCGAGUGUGGUAGAGGCAAACGGAAUUUCUAGUGUAGCGGUAGAAUGCGUAGAUAUUAGAAGGAACACCAGUGGCGAAGGCGGUUUGCUAGGCCACCACUGACGGUCAUGGACGAAAGCGUGGGGAGCAAAUAGGAUUAGAAACCCUAGUAGUCC
This 450-nucleotide ribosomal RNA is filed under the name uncultured bacterium. RNAcentral describes it as "bacterial SSU rRNA". It matches the Rfam family "Bacterial small subunit ribosomal RNA", at positions 354 to 796 of the family's 1533-position model. The record is from RNAcentral.